Molecule: transfer RNA, 68 nt
Filed under: Marmota monax (woodchuck)
Lineage: Eukaryota; Metazoa; Chordata; Mammalia; Rodentia; Sciuridae
Description: tRNA.Ser
Source: RNAcentral
GUUGUGGCUCAGUGGUAGAGCACUUGCCUAGAACAUGUGAGGCACUGGGUUCAAUCCUUAGCACAACA